Molecule: ribosomal RNA, 1324 nt
Filed under: metagenome
Description: bacterial LSU rRNA
Rfam family: Bacterial large subunit ribosomal RNA
Source: RNAcentral
AGUGGAUGGGGAGCAACCUAGUUGUGCGUGUGUAAAGGUAGUGCCAAGAAAAGCGAUGAUCAUGUUGAAAAUCAAUUCCCGGUACCCGAAACCGACACAGGUGGGCAAGUAGAGAAUACUAAGGGGCGCGAGGUAACUCUCUCCAAGGAACUCGGCAAAAUGACCCCGUAACUUAGGGAGAAGGGGUGCCACCGAGAGGUGGUCGCAGUGAAGAGGCCCAGGCGACUGUUUAGCAAAAACAUAGGUCUCUGCAAACUCGAAAGAGGAGGUAUAGGGGCUGACGCCUGCCCAGUGCCGGAAGGUUAAAGAAGUUGGUCAGUCUUAGGAUUAAGCUAGCGACUGAAUCCCCGGUGAACGGCGGCCGUAACUAUAACGGUCCUAAGGUAGCGAAAUUCCUUGUCGGGUAAGUUCCGACCCGCACGAAAGGCGUAACGAUCUGGGCUCUGUCUCGGAGAGAGGCUCGGCGAAAUAGGAUUGUCUGUGAAGAUACGGACUACCUGCAUUUGGACAGAAAGACCCUAUGAAGCUUUACUAUAGCUUGGAAUUGUGUUCGGGCUUCCUGUGCGCAGGAUAGGUGGGAGGCGUAGAAGGUAUUCUUGUGGGGAUACUGGAGCCAACGGUGAGAUACCACUCUCAGGAGGCCAGAAUUCUAACUUAAUUAAGGACAGUUUCAGGUGGGUAGUUUGACUGGGGCGGUCGCCUCCAAAAAGGUAACGGAGGCGUACAAAGGUUCCCUCAGACUGGUUGGAAAUCAGUCGAAGAGUGCAAAGGCAGAAGGGAGCUUGACUGCGAGAAGUACAGUUCGAGCAGGGUGGAAACACGGUCUUAGUGAUCCGACGGUGCUGUGUGGAAGGGCCGUCGCUCAACGGAUAAAAGUUACUCUAGGAUAACAGGCUGAUCUCCCCCAAGAGUUCACAUCGACGGGGAGGUUUGGCACCUCGAUGUCGGCUCAUCGCAACCUGGGGCGGAAGUACGUCCCAAGGGUUGGGCUGUUCGCCCAUUAAAGCGGUACGUGAGCUGGGUUCAGAACGUCGUGAGACAGUUCGGUCCAUAUCCGAUGUAGGCGUGAGAGUAUUGAGAGGAGCCUUCCUUAGUACGAGAGGACCGGGAAGGACGCACCGCUGGUGUACCUGUUAUGAUGCCAAUUGUAAACGCAGGGUAGCCAAGUGCGGAGAGGAUAACCGCUGAAAGCAUCUAAGUGGGAAGCCCACCUCAAGAUGAGUAUUCUGGUGUAAGGUCACGGGAAGACGACCCGUAAAUAGGCACGAGGUGGAAGUGCAGAGAUGUAUGAAGCCGAAGUGUACUAAUAGACCGUCGGCUUGAC